RNAcentral lists this unclassified non-coding RNA (278 nucleotides) under Hevea brasiliensis (rubber tree). The record is from RNAcentral. Lineage: Eukaryota; Viridiplantae; Streptophyta; Magnoliopsida; Malpighiales; Euphorbiaceae.
CGGACUGAGAGUGGGUGUCUGCAGUCGCCUGGGUAUGGAUAUGGUUCGCAAUCGUCCAUUUAGUAUCAAGACCGCAACGCUAUUUUCACCAAGGCACCAUCGAUUUUCCUGUUUUUGCACCACCGCUAAUGUUAAUGUGAAUGCGGAAGAGCCCACAUCAGUUUCCACCGCCACGAACACAGCAUCUGAAUCGGGAUUGGAUGGGGAUGUUGGCAGUAUAAGAGAUGCAGCCAAGAUGCUCGACAUAAGGGUUGGCCGAAUCAUCAAAGCGUGGAGGC